RNAcentral lists this ribosomal RNA (133 nucleotides) under uncultured bacterium. RNAcentral describes it as "partial 16S ribosomal RNA". The record is from RNAcentral.
CACGUAGUUAGCCGUGGCUUAUUCCUCAGGUACCGUCUUGGAUCUUCCCUGAGAAAAGAGGUUUACAACCAAGGCCGUCAUCCCUCACGCGGAGUUGCUGCCUCAAGCUUUCGCUCAUUGGGCAAAAUUCCCG